This 566-nucleotide ribosomal RNA is filed under the name Plectosphaerella sinensis. Its description in RNAcentral is "eukaryotic LSU rRNA". It matches the Rfam family "Eukaryotic large subunit ribosomal RNA", at positions 215 to 805 of the family's 3401-position model. The record is from RNAcentral. Lineage: Eukaryota; Fungi; Ascomycota; Sordariomycetes; Glomerellales; Plectosphaerellaceae.
AGAGCCCCGUCUGGUAGGAAACCCAGCCCAUGUGAUGCUCCCUCGACGAGUCGAGUAGUUUGGGAAUGCUGCUCUAACGGGAGGUAUACUCCUUCCAAGGCUAAAUACCGGCUGGAGACCGAUAGCGCACAAGUAGAGUGAUCGAAAGAUGAAAAGCACUUUGAAAAGAGAGUCAAACAGCACGUGAAAUUGUUAAAAGGGAAGCGCUCGCUACCAGACUUGGGUUCGGCGGUUCAACCGGGGCCAUGCCCCGGGGCACUCCGCCGGCCCAGGCCAGCAUCAGCUUUCCGUCGGGGGCAAAGACGUCGGGAAUGUGGCUCCCUCUCGGGGGAGUGUUAUAGCCCGGCGUGUCAUACCCUUCGGGGGGCUGAGGUACGCGCUUCUGCAAGGAUGCUGGCGUAAUGGUAGCUAGUGACCCGUCUUGAAACACGGACCAAGGAGUCAACCUUAUGUGCGAGUGCCCGGGCGUAAAACCCCAGCGCGGAAUGAAAGUGAACGUAGGUGAGAGCUUCGGCGCAUCACCGACCGAUCCUGAUGUCCUCGGACGGAUUUGAGUGAGAGCAUAU